UUUUUUCUCUUAGCGGAAGUACCAUUUAUCUGUCUCCAUCCAUGGUCUGAGCAGGACAAAAUGGCUUUGAGAGCUGCAUUAAGAAACAAGUGCGGUUUAUCAGGUCUUCUCUCCCAGUGGUCGUCCUGCAGCAGUCAUGGCAGAGUGUGUGUGUCUCCUGUCCUUGUCUCUCAGCAGAGGAACAACUCCACCUCACCUAAGAUCAAAGUGGAUGUUGACCAAAGCUCAGGUGUGGCCGUGAUGCACAUGCAGAGUCCUCCUGUCAACAGCCUCAGUUUAGAUUUCCUCACAGAGUUCUGCAUCAGCGUGGAGAAGCUGGAGAUGGAUAAGAGCUGCCGGGGCCUCAUCAUCACCUCGAGCCAGCCCAAAGUGUUCUCUGCUGGGCUGGACAUCAUGGAGAUGUACGGGAAGAGUCCAGAGCGCUGUGGAGAGUUCUGGAGAGCUGUCCAAGAGAUGUGGCUGAAAAUGUACAGCUCCAACAUGGUCACCAUCGCUGCAAUCAAUGGUUCCAGUCCAGCAGGGGGCUGUCUGAUGUCUCUGACGUGUGACUACAGGAUAAUGGCAGACAACCCUCGUUACAGCAUUGGCCUUAACGAGACACAGCUGGGCAUUGUAGCACCUUUUUGGUUCAAGGACACCAUGACAAACACAGUGGGCCACCGAACCACAGAGAUAGCCCUGGAGUUGGGACUGCUCUACAGCCCGGCAGAGGCCCUCAAGAUAGGACUGGUGGACCAGCUGGUACCUGAAGACCAGGUCCUCACCACAGCCACACAGACCAUGACCAAGUGGUUGGCUAUCCCAGACCACGCCAGGCAGAUCACAAAGUCCAUGAUGAGGAAGCCAAUCAUCGACAAGCUAACGUCCAACAGAGAGGCCGACAUCCAGAACUUUGUCAGUUUCAUCACCAAAGACUCCAUUCAGAAGUCGCUCCGCAUGUAUUUGGAGAUGCUUAAAAAGAGAAAGGGCUAGAGGAGAGAGGCCAGCAUAUAAACACACACACACACACUUUGUAACACUAGUUGAAAACUCAUCUACCUGUCAUGUUUUCAUUGGCAUCAGUUUUGCUUAGAUCCUCAGAUACAGCUCUCAGCAGCUCAUCUUCAUUAACAGUGUUCAACCAGCUAAAGAGCCAUGUACCCUGACUCCUUGUGAUCCUCUGACAGCCCAGCUGACUCCAGGGAGACGUUCACAGGAUUGAUGCUGAUGAUUCAGUGACACAUAGUAUUUUUCUAUCUAACUUAAUAGACUAGUUAAAAAUCUAGUUAAAAAAAGUAACAUCAAGAAAUUGAUGCUAGGUGUCCCUCUCACUGCAGCUCCAUUCACGUAGCUUCAUCAUGGAGAAAUCCAAAGACUGACAGGCCUGCUGUGCAUAGCUAUAGUUGAUCAGCAACGCUUGGAUAGUCAUUGUUUCGGGGGAACAGUUUAUUAAACAGUUAAUUACUAUAACAGACAGGUCUUCACUAUUUAAAGUGCCUCACCUUACUGUACCUUCAAGAGCCAUAUAGCAACUAAUGAAAGUAAGCUUGGGUGCAUUUGAACAGCCCACAGAGGGUUAAAGUCUGUGUUGUCUCUUUAACAGGUUUGUCUACAUUCAGUUUUUCUGACUGCUUUUUGUGAAUAAAUGGGUGAAUUCAUGUACUCACUGGAUUCAGUGGUGUGAUUAAAUGGUCAUUCACACUUUCAUUUUU
This is an RNA transcript of Toxotes jaculatrix (banded archerfish), 1691 nucleotides long. It is a transcript of the gene named enoyl-CoA delta isomerase 1, with no coding region annotated. Lineage: Eukaryota; Metazoa; Chordata; Actinopteri; Toxotidae. The record is from RefSeq and is a predicted model, not a curated record. The transcript is spliced from 8 exons.